UCACAACUCAAGAAGAGAGGGUAAUUCUGGUCCUGGCCCUGAUUCCUCGCCAUUGCGUAGUGUUAAAGAUAUUGCAGUUGGUUUUAAUAGAGACAGUGAACCAGUUCCACCACCUGUACCUAAGAAAAUGCAUAAACAGCAGUCAUCUUUACAGGCUCUAAAGAAUGGUGAAUCAUAGAAAACUGCAAUCAUCAUUAUUAUUGUUGUUGUUGUUAUUAUUAUUAUUAUUAUUAUUAUUAUUAUUAUUAUUAUUAAUUAGUGUUUGACUUAAUUCAUUUUUGUGACACCUUUUUUUAAAAGACGCUUUCUUAUAGCUCUCGAU
Molecule: long non-coding RNA, 322 nt
Organism: Amphimedon queenslandica
Lineage: Eukaryota; Metazoa; Porifera; Demospongiae; Haplosclerida; Niphatidae
Exons: 3
Source: RefSeq, a predicted model, not a curated record